UACGUAGGGUCCAAGCGUUAUCCGGAAUCACUGGGCGUAAAGCGUGCGUAGGCGGCGUGUUAAGUGAGAUGUUAAAUCGUGUGGCUCAACCAUAUCGGUGCAUCUCAUACUGGCAUGCUAGAGGAAGGCAGAGGCAAGUGGAAUUGGUAGUGUAGCAGUGAAAUGCGUAGAUAUUACCAGGAACACCAAUGGCGAAGGCAGCUUGCUGGGCCUUUUCUGACGCUGAGGUACGAAAGCGUGGGGAGCGAACAGG
This 253-nucleotide ribosomal RNA is filed under the name uncultured bacterium. RNAcentral describes it as "partial 16S ribosomal RNA". It matches the Rfam family "Bacterial small subunit ribosomal RNA", at positions 524 to 776 of the family's 1533-position model. The record is from RNAcentral.